This 2847-nucleotide long non-coding RNA is filed under the name Homo sapiens (human). RNAcentral's name for it is "long non-coding RNA NONHSAT247690". Lineage: Eukaryota; Metazoa; Chordata; Mammalia; Primates; Hominidae. The record is from RNAcentral.
CCCCUUAUAGCUGAAACUGAUUUUAUCAGGCAUCUUUAUUUAUCUCCAAAAGUUUUAAUGGAUUUUUAAAGUCAGCUCCACUAAAGAAAAAUUACUGGUGAAAUAACAUUUUAGAAAGUGUUGCAUAAUAGUUAUCAUUUAAACAUUUUAUACAUCUAAGGGUCAUUACAUUCUAGUUUGAUGUAAGCAUUGUUCACUUUUGAGAUCCACACAUACCUGGAUAUCUAGAUGUAUUCCAGGCCAUAUGGAGUCUUACUUUAUUGAGACCAAGAUGCCUCCUGGGUAAGACUGAUUAUACUCUUUCGCCUACCGAGCUAAUUCUUACUUAAAUAUCAUGAUUCGGUUAGUCUGUUUCUCCAUUAAAAAAACUUCAUAACACUCCUUCCUCUUACCACAAUAACUUCAGACAGCCAUCCUUCAUGCUCCUACAGCACCUGGUAUAUUUUAAGAUGCACACAUUAUAUUUUAAUUAUUUCCUUACUAGUCUGCCUCAGGAGGCUCCUUAGUAUAAGGUCUGGAGUCAAACACUUAUACCUUCAGCAUUUAUGAGUUGAGCAAUGAUUGUGUGCCAAAUUGGACUCUUCCACCAUCAAAUAGUUAUAUAAAUUUGGCAAACUACUUAAUACCACCUGAAGUUUCACUUUUCUCAUCUGUAAAAUUAAAAUAUUAACUGUACAUAUACCACAGGUUAUGGUGAGGGUUAUGUAAUGCAGAAUAUGCUUCAUUAAUGUUGGCUAUCAUUAUAUUUCUCUUAUCAUAAACAAAUUAAGCUUAUAUGAUCAUUUAAAUAAACUUAGAAGGAAAAGGCUUAAGAUUACCUGGUGUUUAUAGAAAAAAGAGAUGCUUUGAUUUUUUUUUAAUAGAGAAGAAAAAAUGUUCUUAAACACUUACCAAAUCAGAACUACAGGUAGAGUUCAUUGAAAAAAAGCUGCUAUUCUUCUCAAUCUUACAUUACUGUCAUAUCAAUCUUCUAAAAACGUAGUUUUCAUUUCAAUAUCUUGUUAAACUUUUAAUGGUACUCCAUAUAUCUUAUAUAACUUAAUAUAAACAUCUUAACUUUGUAAAAAUAUACACAUUAUAGAGAUAUCAAAAUAAUAUAUAUCUGGUAACAUUUACAUUCACACUUAGUAAAAGUAUGUUUCCAGAGAUGCCAAAAAAUAUGUGAAAUUAUCAAACAUGAUUAAGUCAAAUUAAGCCUUUUCUCCUCAUAUGUAAUUAAUUUGUACAGCAAAAACAUACUAUUAUUAACUUUCCUCUCCAAAAGAUUAUUCCAAUAAAUGCACAAUUUCCUUUUAUUAUAUUAAUAUUUCUUUAUACAUACCACACAAAGCUCAAAUAAAAUGAUUCCAAGAGACCAUACAUCUGAUUUGGGGCCAGAAGGCAAUGGUUUUUUACUUGGCAUGUGAUCAGUGGUUUUGAAAAUUCCCUGUGCAAUUACCUCAGGGGCCAAGUACGAGGGAUACCUUUUAGUUUCUCUUUGGGAAAAUGCAGGCUCUUUGUAGGUGUUUGUUCUUCUCUACAUACAUUUUAAAACUAUCUUGCCAAGUAUCUUCUCUUUCACAUACUGAAUUUUUAUUGAAAAUAGAUAAGAUAUAAAGACAGGUUGUAGAGAACUAACAUCUUUACAAUACUAACCCUAACAAUCUAUAAACAUGAUAUCUCCAUAUUUAUUUAGGUCUUCUAUAAUGUCUCUCAAAAAGAUUUAUAUUUUUUCCAUAAAGGAACAUAUCACGGGAUUUUGUGGUGUCACUUUGUCAGGUGGAAACCUCUGUGGCCAGUGGUGCCUUUGCCUGAGUUUUGCUGGGACCCACUGGGCCCGUUCCAUCCACUUGGACUGGCAGGCUGUGCUCAGCUCGUGCUACUGGCCUGGAUGCCACGCGGCCAAGGGAGAGCCAGGCAUGGCGUGGCAAGGGGUGUAUGAGUGAGUGUGGGGUCUGGCCACUGUGCACAGCCAGGCACACUGGCUGUGGCAUGGCAAGCAGGUCCAGGUGCUGGCAUAGGCACUGGCUUCCUGCAAGGCUGUGGUUGGACCAGGUGCGUUGCAAGCAGCUUCCAUGGCUGGCACCAGGGAACAUGGUUGUGCCCGGAAACUUGGAGAUGCCAGGAACUGCAGAGCCCCAAAGAGAGUGUCACAGCCCUGGCUCAGAAAGUUCCUAGGUCUGGGCUCCCCAAAGGGCUGCAGCUCCUCUCUCCUUCUGUCUUCUUUCCUUGCCACCCGCAAUGUGGCAAGCAAGGGGUUGUUUCAGCCCUGUUUGUUAUAGCUGUUUUAGCUCUGACAUUUGGCAGGUCCCAAAUUCUUGUCCUGCAUCCAAGAAGAAUAAGGUACAUGGACAAGUGAAGGGUGAGCAAGGUGAAGAGAUUUAUUGAGCUAUAGAACACCUAAAGAGACCCACAGUGGGUAGUUCCUCUCCACUGGCAGGGUGUCCCAAGGAGUGUCCAACACUCAGCUGAGAGGAGACCCUAGGGUGGAUAGCUUUUCCCCUCAGGUGGGGUGUCCCUAUGAGCAUUCAGCCCUCAGCAGAGAGAAGACCCUGGGGUGGGUAGCUCCUCUCUACAGCUGGCCAUCCAUCAUCUGCUCAAGUCUGGCUGAGUCCAGGGUUUUUAUGGUCCUCAGAGGGAAGAAGUGCACGUCCAUUGGUCCAUGGGCGGCCAUGGGUGGGCCCAGAAAAAGCACCACAAGUUCCCACUCAGGUCCACGGGACCUGCAGCCCAUCUCCCAUGCUUCAGGCCCUCCUGGGCUUGAAGGCAGGGCUUCACCAGGGACCUGCCCCCUUCUACCCAGGAACCUGUCUGACUCCUGUCACUCUUCAUGGUGCCCAGGCUAUUCGUGCCACGGAGCGCCUGCCC